Molecule: microRNA, 21 nt
Filed under: Homo sapiens (human)
Lineage: Eukaryota; Metazoa; Chordata; Mammalia; Primates; Hominidae
Description: hsa-miR-6770-3p
Source: miRBase by way of RNAcentral
CUGGCGGCUGUGUCUUCACAG